ACCUACGGGGGGUAGCAGUAGGGAAUUUUCGUCAAUGGGCGCAAGCCUGAACGAACAAUGCCGCGUGAACGAGGAAGGUCUUCGGAUCGUAAAGUUCUGUUGAAGGGGAAAAAGAGCGGAGAGAGGAAAUGAACUCCGAUUGAUAUUACCCUUCGAGGAAGUCACGGCUAACUACGUGCCAGCAGCCGCGGUAAUACGUAGGUGGCGAGCGUUAUCCGGAAUGAUUGGGCGUAAAGGGGGCGUAGGCGGCCUGCUAAGUCUGGAGUGAAAGGUACGGGCUCAACCGGUACAGGCUCUGGAAACUG
This 305-nucleotide ribosomal RNA is filed under the name uncultured bacterium. RNAcentral's name for it is "bacterial SSU rRNA". It matches the Rfam family "Bacterial small subunit ribosomal RNA", at positions 337 to 635 of the family's 1533-position model. The record is from RNAcentral.